UUCGCAAUGCCCGAAAGGGUGACGAAGCGACGCCGCGUGUGGGAAGAAGGCCCUCGGGUUGUAAACCACUGUCGGGAGUUAAGAAAUGCAAGGGUGCUAAUAGUAUCCUUGCUUGACUAAGGCUCCGGAGGAAGCCACGGCUAACUCUGUGCCAGCAGCCGCGGUAAUACAGAGGCGGCAAGCGUUGUUCGGAAUUAUUGGGCGUAAAGAGCACGUAGGCGGCUAUGUAAGUCGGUUGUGAAAGCCUUCCGCUCAACGGAAGAACAGCAUCCGAUACUGCAUGGCUUGAGUGCGGGAGGGGAGAGUGGAACUUCUGGUGGAGCGGUGAAAUGCGUAGAUAUCAGUAGGAACGCCGGCGGCGAAAGCGGCUCUCUGGCCCAUAACUGACGCUGAGUGUGCGAAAGCUAGGGGAGCAAACGGGAUUAGAUACCCCGGUAGUCCUAGCCGUAAACGAUGGGCACUAAGUAGAGGGGUUUU
Molecule: ribosomal RNA, 477 nt
Filed under: uncultured bacterium
Lineage: Bacteria
Description: bacterial SSU rRNA
Rfam family: Bacterial small subunit ribosomal RNA
Source: RNAcentral